AUUUUGAACCUGCUUCUGCUUUUGGGCUGAUGCUAUGCUGUUUGGUAAAAUGUCUAGAAGUGGCUUUUGGUCCGAAUUGAUUCUCCAAGAAGCUGAAAUUGAGAAGCAGCAUUUACCAGCUUUGGGAAGCUGAUUCUGAGAAAACACGGAGUGAACAGUGUUUCAUUAAAUGAAAUUUUCUCUUUUUUCCUAUUAUGUCCUCAUCCAUCUUCUCUAUGACUUUACCUUGACCCAGAUAGGGUUUUAUUAUGCUCAGCUCGCCUCCUCUCUUCCCAGCCUCCUCUGCCGUCAAAACUCAAACCACCUAAGCUCAUAGAUCGAUCUCUUCUGUGUCUUCAAAAAACCCGAUUCCUUCGCUCCUCCGCCACACGCCCCAAACCCAAAGCAUUCCCGGACCCCAGCUUCUUCAACCUCCUUUCGUACUUGGUAAGCUCCUCAUCAAUUUCGCGUAAUCACAUCUUCGCAGCCUACCAAGAACCACUGUAUCACCGCCUCUCUCUCUCUCUCUCUCUCAAACCCAGCAGCAAAUUGAGCCGAAAGUUUCUGUCUUCAGCGAAUCAAACUCACUUCGUGUCCUGAUGGGAUUGUGAUUCGUACUUCAUCUACAAGCCUUCAACUUGGAUUAUUCGAGUACUGUUGCAAGCUUCGAUUCACUGCCAAAUUACCGCACACAGAGACGGAGUAAGUAUCAAACUGCAGUUUUCAAUUCAAUUCCAGUCCCUCCAA
Molecule: long non-coding RNA, 726 nt
Organism: Rosa rugosa (rugosa rose)
Lineage: Eukaryota; Viridiplantae; Streptophyta; Magnoliopsida; Rosales; Rosaceae
Exons: 3
Source: RefSeq, a predicted model, not a curated record